GCCCUCGUAGCUCAGGGGAUAGAGCAUCGGCCUCCGGAGCCGUGUGCGCGCGUUCGAAUCGCGCCGAGGGCA
Molecule: transfer RNA, 72 nt
Filed under: Actinomycetota bacterium
Lineage: Bacteria; Bacillati; Actinomycetota
Description: tRNA-Arg
Rfam family: tRNA
About the family: Transfer RNA (tRNA) molecules are approximately 80 nucleotides in length. Their secondary structure includes four short double-helical elements and three loops (D, anti-codon, and T loops).
Source: RNAcentral